RNAcentral lists this long non-coding RNA (305 nucleotides) under Homo sapiens (human). RNAcentral describes it as "HSALNT0080198". Lineage: Eukaryota; Metazoa; Chordata; Mammalia; Primates; Hominidae. The record is from RNAcentral.
GGAUGUUAUUAAAAUGUAAAUUCUGAUUCCACAGGGUUGGAAUGGAGUAAGCAUCUGUAUUUUCAAUAAGUGCCCAGGUGCUGUUGAUGUUGCUGAUCCAUGAAUCAUCAUUUAGGUAGUUCUGAAGGUUAGGACUGAACGUCUCCUGGAGCCAUUAUGCAGCCUACCACACUUGCUAUAUCUUCCAGAAUUUUGGAGGAAGUAAUUCAUUCUGUCAGCUUCCGGCUGGAAAAUGUUAUCAUGUGUCACCUCAAUAUGUGUCAUCUCUGGUAAUUAUUGAAAAGGCUAUUACAUUUGGUCAUUUA